GCCCUAUUCAUCAUCUCCUGUCUAAAAUCUGAAUAAUUCUCACCCAACUGCUCCUCCAUCCCUUUUCCAGAGUUAAGGCCACACCUCCUUGACAUUGAGAAAUCAAGCAGGAGCUUGAAAACAUCAGAAUUCUUGCUCCUGGCUGCAGCAUACAGUAUAUCAGUAACACCAUAUUCUCCUUCGCCAAAAACAAGAAGAGGACCUCUCUCCAACAAUUCCUUGACGAAGCUCACAUCACCAGCUGAGGCAGCAGUGUACAGG
RNAcentral lists this unclassified non-coding RNA (261 nucleotides) under Hevea brasiliensis (rubber tree). The record is from RNAcentral. Lineage: Eukaryota; Viridiplantae; Streptophyta; Magnoliopsida; Malpighiales; Euphorbiaceae.